Long non-coding RNA from Pipra filicauda (Wire-tailed manakin), 1797 nucleotides. RefSeq lists it as uncharacterized. NCBI's taxonomy places the organism in Eukaryota, Metazoa, Chordata, Aves, Passeriformes, Pipridae. The record is from RefSeq and is a predicted model, not a curated record. The transcript has 2 exons.
UUUUAGCUGUUUUACAUCUGAACAGUGUAUCUGGGGUCACUUUUAGGCACACAAUUGCCUUUAUGUUGAGAGGGUCUAACAUUUCAUUUACUAGUCGUACUCACUGUGGGAAAACUCCUGUCCUGAAGGAGUCCACCAUUUGCCUUUUUUUUUCCUAGAUGUGGUGGAGCAUAUCUUUACAAAAAUAAAGAUUUUGUAAAACAGAUGUUGCUCAGUGGUUUAGUGCUAAUAUUUGAGCUAAUUGUGUGAAAAUGAUUGGGAAAUAAGAUUGUGUCUUCCAUUCAGAUGGAUAGAGAGUUCUUAAAAAUAAAUUUCCAAAGGGAUUUGUUGAGACUAUCCCUGUAUCUUCCUGCACCAGUGAAGAGUACUAGUUUGACUUAGUAAGAAAGACUGAAUUGCAGUGCCAAAAUCAGUAGCUCUGCUCACCUUGAGUUGUGGCUGUCCAAAGGACAGUUCUCUGCAGGCACAGCUACACAGAGUUUGGCUUCCCGGCGCUGCUGAAAACGUCCUAGAAUCCCACCUGACUGGAGGUUGCUUUCCACGCUUAGUCAGAAGUUCUGUGAAACCUUAGUUGAAAUAAUCCACAGGUAAAUCUUUGUCUACGGGAGAAAGCUCAAAAUAAACAAAAGAGAGAGCAGCUGGAACACUUGUGGAAGGACAUGGGCAGCGUGUGUGUGCAGGGCAGCACAGUGGCAGGUACCUCCCCAGGAAGAUAAAGUUUACUGCAGAAGUUUUCUGAAGAGUUUGCCUUGUGAAGUAGUACAGUGCUUCUUUGUCCUCACAGCAGAAGUGUGAAAGCAGCUCCAUGUUAGAGGAGCGGGGCUUUAGUUCCUGUGGGGUUGGUCACACUCAGCUCUUCCUGUGUCAGUCACAGGUUUGGAAGAAACCCUGCUGUGUAGCUAAAGCAGUGGACCUACUAGAAAUAAUGAAAUACUUUAGAAAAGGUGAAACAGUCAGAUCAGAAUAUGAGAAAGCUCUGCUGUUGGCUGCACUGUUCCUUAGAUGAGGCGAGUAGGUGCUGAUGGAGUCUGUCCUGUGUCUGGGAUCCACAAGCAGCUUUCUGUCCCCUUAGAGCAGGUGUUCAGUGCUGGGUUUCUGUGCAGAUAGAAACCUUACCUUUAGCAAGCUGGUUGGUGUACAGCUGUUUCUGUUCCCUUCAAGGACCUGAUGCUUCUGCAAUGGGUCCCUCUGAGCUAAUACUAACACGAGGAACUCUCGAUGAAGAGCAAGAAGAGAGGGAGAGUGACGCUGAUGGCAUUGACCAUGAAGGUAAGGGAAUGAGGUCUAAAAGCUGCCUCUCAAGAAAUCCCCUCUAUAUUUCAUGUCCUGGAUGGACUGUAAGGAGAGCCUAGAAAACAAGCAAACAUUCAGUCACCUGACGUGUCAGAAUCUGUAGCAGAAGCUCAGCUGCAAUGGUCAGUGCAGGGAUAUCACUCUGUAACCUUUGUGAAAGUUCAAUUGUAAAUUUUCUAUUCAAGUAAUUAAUAGGUGUAUAAUACACAUAGACCAGAGAACUCGUUAGGCUUGGGGCAUGCAGUGACCUCUGAACCUGAUUGAUGCACAGAUGUGUCCAUCAUCUUUUUGGCCUUACAGUUUCUGCCCCUGGCUCUCUUCCCUUUUCCUGUGACUGUGGUCUUGGAGCAAUCUUCUAAGUUGUUACAGUGUGAUUUUUCUCUUCUAUAGCUCACAGACUUAAUCUUCAUUCUUUCCCUGUUCCACUGAUGGGUAGGAUCACUUAUUUCCUUUGCCCUGUAAUGUAGCUGAAGAUGGAAUAGACUUUCUAUGUUGCUUUGGCUA